CAGUCGCCGCGGUAAUACGAAGGGGGCUAGCGUUGCUCGGAAUGACUGGGCGUAAAGGGCGCGUAGGCGGUUUGUACAGUUGGAUGUGAAAUUCCUGGGCUUAACCUGGGGGCUGCAUUCAAUACGUGCAAGCUUGAGUGUGGAAGAGGGUUGUGGAAUUCCCAGUGUAGAGGUGAAAUUCGUAGAUAUUGGGAAGAACACCGGUGGCGAAGGCGGCAACCUGGCCCAUUACUGACGCUGAGGCGCGAAAGCGUGGGGAGCGAACAGGAUUAGAUACCCCUGUAGUCCCUGUCUCUUAUAC
Molecule: ribosomal RNA, 301 nt
Filed under: uncultured bacterium
Lineage: Bacteria
Description: partial 16S ribosomal RNA
Rfam family: Bacterial small subunit ribosomal RNA
Source: RNAcentral